UACGGAGGGUGCAAGCGUUAAUCGGAAUUACUGGGCGUAAAGCGCGCGUAGGUGGUUGAAUAAGUCGAUUGUGAAAUCCCCGGGCUUAACCUGGGAAUUGCAUUCGAUACUGUUCAGCUAGAGUGUGGUAGAGGGAAGCGGAAUUCCGGGUGUAGCGGUGAAAUGCGUAGAUAUCGUGAGGAAGACCAGUGGCGAAGGCGAAUCUCUGGACAGUUCCUGACGCUCAUGCACGAAGGCCAGGGGAGCAAACGGG
Molecule: ribosomal RNA, 253 nt
Filed under: uncultured bacterium
Lineage: Bacteria
Description: partial 16S ribosomal RNA
Rfam family: Bacterial small subunit ribosomal RNA
Source: RNAcentral